This 438-nucleotide ribosomal RNA is filed under the name uncultured bacterium. RNAcentral describes it as "bacterial SSU rRNA". It matches the Rfam family "Bacterial small subunit ribosomal RNA", at positions 8 to 429 of the family's 1533-position model. The record is from RNAcentral.
AGAGUUUGAUCCUGGCUCAGGAUGAACGCUGGCGGUGUGCCUAACACAUGCAAGUCGAACGAACCUUUAUUUUUGAGAAUUCCGUGUUACAACGGGGGUCUCAUAAAUAAUGGUUAGUGGCGGACGGGUGAGUAACACGUUAGUACCUACCCUAAAGUGGGGAAUAACCCGGCGAAAGUCGGGCUAAUACCGCAUAUGAUCCUUUUAGGAUUAAAGCCUUCGGGCGCUUUAGGAGGGGCUUGCGUCUGAUUAGCUAGUUGGUAAGGUAAUGGCUUACCAAGGCUACGAUCAGUAGCUGGUUCGAGAGGAUGACCAGCCACACUGGGACUGAGAUACGGCCCAGACUCCUACGGGAGGCAGCAGUGAGGAAUCUUCCGCAAUGGACGAAAGUCUGACGGAGCAACACCGCGUGCAGGAUGACGGCCUUCGGGUUGUAAA